UUAAGCCAUGCAUGUCUCAGUAUAAGCUUCUAUACGGCGAAACUGCGAAUGGCUCAUUAAAACAGUUAUAGUUUAUUUGGUGGUCAGCAAUUACAUGGAUAACCGUGGUAAUUCUAGAGCUAAUACAUGCGUCCAAACCCGACUUCGUGGAAGGGUUGUGUUUAUUAGAUACAGAACCAACCCAGGCUCCGCCUGGCCUUGAGGUGAUUCAUAAUAACCGAACGAAUCGCAUGGCUAUGCCGGCGAUAGACCAUUCAAGUUUCUGACCUAUCAGCUAUCGUCGGUAGGGUAUUGGCCUACCGUGGCAAUGACGGGUAACGGAGAAUUAGGGUUCGAUUCCGGAGAGGGAGCCUGAGAAACGGCUACCACAUCUAAGGAAGGCAGCAGGCGCGCAAAUUACCCAAUCCUGACGCAGGGAGGUAGUGACAAGAAAUAACAAUACAGGGCAUACAUGUCUUGUAAUUGGAAUGAGUAAACUUUAAAUCACUUUACGAGUAUCAAUUGGAGG
This 508-nucleotide ribosomal RNA is filed under the name uncultured eukaryote. RNAcentral's name for it is "SSU rRNA". It matches the Rfam family "Eukaryotic small subunit ribosomal RNA", at positions 44 to 554 of the family's 1831-position model. The record is from RNAcentral.